This is a long non-coding RNA of Leopardus geoffroyi (Geoffroy's cat), 145 nucleotides long. RefSeq lists it as uncharacterized. The record is from RefSeq and is a predicted model, not a curated record. The transcript is spliced from 3 exons. NCBI's taxonomy places the organism in Eukaryota, Metazoa, Chordata, Mammalia, Carnivora, Felidae.
CUUACAACUUAAGAACUUCUCAUUUGUAACAGGAGUGCCAUGAAAAAAUUGCCUUUCAGCUUUGUCUGCUUCUUUUUCUGUUUUGUUUCCUCUCUUCCAGUUUCUUUUUAAAUGUUUAUUUAUUUUGAGAGAGGGAGCAUAUGUG